CAUUGUAAGUCUUUGGAUCUCACAGGCAAUCAAGGUCCCUGGGCACUUUAACAAAAAAUAACUAAUACUAUUAAAAGCGUCACUUUAAGUUCACAAGAAUUUUCUUACACACAGAUAUUUAAGGAAUUCUGAAACAAUGUCAACAGAUUUGGGUGCCCAAAGGAGAGAGAGAAUAAACUUGAACAUUCUGACUUUGAAGUGCUUGAACAUGAAAGACAGAGAAUUGACCAGAAGCAAGCGUCCUUAGAGUGGGGUCGUCAUAUUUGAGAAAUGUGCUACAGGGAUCUAGCACACUGCAUUGCCUCACAGCUAAAUUCCCACUGGAUUGUUGGUCUGAAUCACCGAUUGAAAAAUCAAAUGUCUUCAGGGACCCGGCAGGAUCCCGAAGGACGCCGCUCUAAGCCAGAGGGAGCGGUGUGUGUUGUGGCUGAAGUGGAAAAUACAAGCCCAGUUUAAGGGCAUUCAAACA
Molecule: long non-coding RNA, 469 nt
Organism: Homo sapiens (human)
Lineage: Eukaryota; Metazoa; Chordata; Mammalia; Primates; Hominidae
Product: long intergenic non-protein coding RNA 1483
Source: Ensembl